GCAGAAGAAGCGCCGGCUAACUACGUGCCAGCAGCCGCGGUAAUACGUAGGGCGCAAGCGUUAUCCGGAAUUAUUGGGCGUAAAGAGCUCGUAGGCGGUUUGUCGCGUCUGCUGUGAAAGACCGGGGCUCAACUCCGGUUCUGCAGUGGGUACGGGCAGACUAGAGUGCAGUAGGGGAGACUGGAAUUCCUGGUGUAGCGGUGAAAUGCGCAGAUAUCAGGAGGAACACCGAUGGCGAAGGCAGGUCUCUGGGCUGUAACUGACGCUGAGGAGCGAAAGCAUGGGGAGCGAACAGGAUUAGAUACCCUGGUAGUCCAUGCCGUAAACGUUGGGCACUAGGUGUGGGGGACAUUCCACGUUUUCCGCGCCGUAGCUAACGCAUUAAGUGCCCCGCCUGGGGAGUACGGCCGCAAGGCUAAAACUCAAAGGAAUUGACGGGGGCCCGCACAAGCGGCGGAGCAUGCGGAUUAAUUCGAUGCAACGCGAAGAACCUUACCAAGGCUUGACAUGAACCGGAAAGACCUGGAAACAGGUGCCCCGCUUGCGGUCGGUUUACAGGUGGUGCAUGGUUGUCGUCAGCUCGUGUCGUGAGAUGUUGGGUUAAGUCCCGCAACGAGCGCAACCCUCGUUCUAUGUUGCCAGCGCGUUAUGGCGGGGACUCAUAGGAGACUGCCGGGGUCAACUCGGAGGAAGGUGGGGACGACGUCAAAUCAUCAUGCCCCUUAUGUCUUGGGCUUCACGCAUGCUACAAUGGCCGGUACAAAGGGUUGCGAUACUGUGAGGUGGAGCUAAUCCCAAAAAGCCGGUCUCAGUUCGGAUUGGGGUCUGCAACUCGACCCCAUGAAGUCGGAGUCGCUAGUAAUCGCAGAUCAGCAACGCUGCGGUGAAUACGUUCCCGGGCCUUGUACACACCGCCCGUCAAGUCACGAAAGUUGGUAACACCCGAAGCCGGUGGCCUAACCCUUGUGGGGGAGCCGUCGAAGGUGAAC
RNAcentral lists this ribosomal RNA (989 nucleotides) under Arthrobacter sp. K25-D16P. RNAcentral's name for it is "bacterial SSU rRNA". It matches the Rfam family "Bacterial small subunit ribosomal RNA", at positions 481 to 1467 of the family's 1533-position model. Lineage: Bacteria; Bacillati; Actinomycetota; Actinomycetes; Micrococcales; Micrococcaceae. The record is from RNAcentral.